RNAcentral lists this ribosomal RNA (255 nucleotides) under uncultured bacterium. RNAcentral's name for it is "partial small subunit ribosomal RNA". It matches the Rfam family "Bacterial small subunit ribosomal RNA", at positions 26 to 285 of the family's 1533-position model. The record is from RNAcentral.
AGGACGAACGCUGGCGGCGUGCUUAACACAUGCAAGUCGAGCGGAAAGGCCCUUCGGGGUAAUCGAGCGGCGAACGGGUGAGUAACACGUGAGUAAUCUGCCCCUAGCUCUGGGAUAGCUCCGGGAAAACCGGGAUUAAUACCAGAUAUUACCACUUUAGACAUCUCUUGUGGUGGAAAGAAUUUCGGCUAGGGAUGAACUCGCGGCCUAUCAGCUUGUUGGUGAGGUAACGGCUCACCAAGGCGACGACGGGUA